AACGCUAGCUACAGGCUUAACACAUGCAAGUCGAACGGGGAACGGAUUCGUCCGUUCCCAGUGGCAAACGGGUGAGUAACACGUAUCCAACCACCCCGCGACACGGGGAUAGCCUUCUGAAAGGGAGAUUAAUACCCGGUACACUGUUUAUAGCGCAUGCUAUUUUCAGUAAAGUUCCGGCGGUCGCGGACGGGGAUGCGCUCCAUUAGAUAGUCGGCGGGGUAACGGCCCACCGAGUCUAUGAUGGAUAGGGGUUCUGAGAGGAAGGUCCCCCACAUUGGAACUGCGACACGGUCCAAACUCCUACGGGAGGCAGCAGUGAGGAAUAUUGGUCAAUGGGCGAAGGCCUGAACCAGCCAAGUAGCGUGAAGGAUGACAGCCCUAUGGGUUGUAAACUUCUUUUGGUCGGGAAUAACAGACACCACUUGUGGUGUUUUGCAUGUACCGGCCGAAUAAGGAUCGGCUAACUCCGUGCCAGCAGCCGCGGUAAUACGGAGGAUCCGAGCGUUAUCCGGAUUUAUUGGGUUUAAAGGGAGCGUAGGCGGGAAGUCAAGUCAGCUGUGAAAUGCGCACGCUCAACGUACGCCUUGCAGUUGAAACUGGUUUUCUUGAGUGCGUAAGAGGCAGGCGGAAUUCGUGGUGUAGCGGUGAAAUGCUUAGAUAUCACGAAGAACUCCGAUUG
RNAcentral lists this ribosomal RNA (682 nucleotides) under uncultured Bacteroidales bacterium. Its description in RNAcentral is "bacterial SSU rRNA". It matches the Rfam family "Bacterial small subunit ribosomal RNA", at positions 32 to 715 of the family's 1533-position model. Lineage: Bacteria; Pseudomonadati; Bacteroidota; Bacteroidia; Bacteroidales. The record is from RNAcentral.